AUGUCGUCUCCCUCCUCCAAAAAUGAGGGUAAAGAUGCUUGGCUAAUGAAGAUAGAGUUGAAGAGAGAAGAAUCCGGGGAGAUCAAUAAGGAGGAUGGGAUCAAGAAGGCCAUGGAGGACCAAGCUCCAGGAACAGAAGAAGAAGACAUCCUUCCACCUCAUCAAAAUCUUCUUACCCCAACUGAGAUUGAAGCUUUCAAGAUGAUUGAGUUAGCUCGUAUACAAAACAAGUAUCUCACACGUGAAAAUAUUUUGUUGAAGGAGCAUAUUGUCGCACUCAAGGGCAUUGUCCGCAAGUUGGAAGAUCUCCUACGCUCGAUGUGCGAUUAUCCAUCAUCACCACCUUCUUCACCAGCAAACGAGAUAUAA
This 369-nucleotide ribosomal RNA is filed under the name Triticum aestivum (bread wheat). Its description in RNAcentral is "partial small subunit ribosomal RNA". The record is from RNAcentral. Lineage: Eukaryota; Viridiplantae; Streptophyta; Magnoliopsida; Poales; Poaceae.